This 621-nucleotide ribosomal RNA is filed under the name Triticum aestivum (bread wheat). RNAcentral's name for it is "partial small subunit ribosomal RNA". Lineage: Eukaryota; Viridiplantae; Streptophyta; Magnoliopsida; Poales; Poaceae. The record is from RNAcentral.
AUGACGGCGCAGACUGCCGAGGAGCUCGCCGCGCAUAUCGAGCAGGAGCAGCUCGAGGCGAAGAAAACUGAGCAGGCAGAAGAGGUUGUGGUUGAGGAUGAUGAUGAUGAUGACGACGACGAUGAGGAUGAUGAUGACAACGAUGAUUUGGAUGGGCAAGAAGGUGAUGCCAGUGGCACAUCAAAGCAAAGCAGGAGUGAGAAGAAGAGUCGCAAGGCAAUGCUGAAGCUUGGCAUGAAAUCCAUCACUGGCGUAAGCCGUGUCACUGUGAAGAAAAGCAAGAAUAUAUUAUUCGUCAUCUCAAAGCCAGAUGUCUUCAAGAGCCCAAAUUCAGAGACGUAUGUUAUUUUCGGUGAAGCCAAGAUUGAGGAUCUCAGCUCCCAGCUGCAGAGCCAGGCUGCCGAACAGUUCAAGGCUCCUGACCUGAGCCAAAUGAUCUCAAGUCCUGAGGCGUCGGGCAUGGAGAAUGAUGACAACGAGGUUGUCAACGAUGAAGGAGUCGAGCCAAAGGACAUCGAGCUGGUGAUGACACAGGCGGGCGUCUCAAGGGCCAAGGCUGUCAGGGCUCUCAAGUCUGCCAAUGGAGACAUUGUCACUGCCAUUAUGGAGGUCACAACUUAA